RNAcentral lists this ribosomal RNA (407 nucleotides) under uncultured bacterium. RNAcentral describes it as "partial 16S ribosomal RNA". It matches the Rfam family "Bacterial small subunit ribosomal RNA", at positions 28 to 526 of the family's 1533-position model. The record is from RNAcentral.
GACGAACGCUGGCGGCGCGCUUAACACAUGCAAGUCGAGCGAAGCGGCGGACGGGUGAGUAACACGUGAGUAACCUGCCUUAGACAUUGGGAUAGCCUCGGGAAACCGGGCUUAAUACCAAAUGGUCUAAGAGGGACUCGCGUCCCAUUAGAAAGUUGGUGCGGUAACGUCCCACCAAGGCGACGAGGGGUAGCCGGCAUGAGAGGUGGAAUGUCGACAUUGGAACGGAGAAACGGUGCAAACGCUACGGGAGGGGGCAGGGGGUAAUCUUGCACAAUGGAGGGAACGCUGAGGCACCGAGGGUGGUGGAACGAAGAAGGCUUUCGAGACGUAAAGUUCUUUUAGAUGGGACGCGGUACCAGAAGAAAAAGCCCCGGCUAACUACGUGCCAGCAGCCGCGGUAAUUC